This 2888-nucleotide ribosomal RNA is filed under the name Aliidiomarina celeris. RNAcentral describes it as "bacterial LSU rRNA". It matches the Rfam family "Bacterial large subunit ribosomal RNA". Lineage: Bacteria; Pseudomonadati; Pseudomonadota; Gammaproteobacteria; Alteromonadales; Idiomarinaceae. The record is from RNAcentral.
UUAAGUGACUAAGCGUACACGGUGGAUGCCUUGGCAGUUGGAGGCGAUGAAGGACGUACUAACUUGCGAUAAGCCUAGUUGAGCCAGUAAGAGGCGCAUGAGACUAGGAUUUCCGAAUGGGGAAACCCAGUGAGUUUACUCACUAUCCUUAACUGAAUACAUAGGUUAAGGAGGCGAACGAGGGGAACUGAAACAUCUAAGUACCCUUAGGAAAAGAAAUCAAAUGAGAUUCCGUUAGUAGCGGCGAGCGAACGCGGAUUAGCCCUUAAGCUUGAUAAGAUGCAGUGGAACACUCUGGAAAGUGUGGCGAUAGAGGGUGAUAGCCCCGUACACGAAGUGUGUUAUCAAGUGAAAACGAGUAGGUCGGGACACGUGUUAUCUUGACUGAAUAUGGGGGGACCAUCCUCCAAGGCUAAAUACUCCCAACUGACCGAUAGUGAACCAGUACCGUGAGGGAAAGGCGAAAAGAACCCCUGUGAGGGGAGUGAAAUAGAACCUGAAACCGUGUACGUACAAGCAGUAGGAGCGGGCUCGUCCCGUGACUGCGUACCUUUUGUAUAAUGGGUCAGCGACUUACAUUUUGUAGCAAGGUUAACCGAAUAGGGUAGCCGUAGGGAAACCGAGUCUUAACUGGGCGUGUAGUUGCAAGGUGUAGACCCGAAACCGGGCGAUCUAGCCAUGGGCAGGUUGAAGGUUGAGUAACAUCAACUGGAGGACCGAACUCACUAAUGUUGAAAAAUUAGGAGAUGACCUGUGGCUCGGAGUGAAAGGCUAAUCAAGCCCGGAGAUAGCUGGUUCUCCCCGAAAUCUAUUUAGGUAGAGCCUCGGACGAAUACCAUUGGGGGUAGAGCACUGUUUCGGCUAGGGGGUCAUCCCGACUUACCAACCCGAUGCAAACUCCGAAUACCAAUGAGUACUAUCCGGGAGACACACGGCGGGUGCUAACGUCCGUCGUGAAGAGGGAAACAACCCAGACCGCCAGCUAAGGUCCCGAAGUCAUGGUUCAGUGGGAAACGAUGUGGGAAGGCAUAGACAGCUAGGAGGUUGGCUUAGAAGCAGCCACCCUUUAAAGAAAGCGUAAUAGCUCACUAGUCGAGUCGGCCUGCGCGGAAGAUGUAACGGGGCUAAACCAUGCACCGAAGCUGCGGCUGCGAAUGCAUUUAUGUGUUUGCGGGGUAGGGGAGCGUUCUGUAAGCCGUUGAAGGUGGAUUGAGAAGUCUGCUGGAGGUAUCAGAAGUGCGAAUGCUGACAUGAGUAACGAUAAUGGGAGUGAAAAACUCCCACGCCGGAAGACCAAGGGUUCCUAUCCCAUGCUAAUCAGGGUAGGGUGAGUCGGCCCCUAAGGCGAGGCAGAAAUGCGUAGUCGAUGGGAAACAGGUUAAUAUUCCUGUACUUUUUUAUACUGCGAUGGGGUGACGGAGAAGGCUAGGCAAGCGCGGCGUUGGUAGUCCGCGUGAAAGUGAGUAGGUUGAGAAUUUAGGCAAAUCCGGAUUCUUAAGACUGAGACACGAGACGAGCUCCUAAGGGAGCGAAGUUGUUGAUGCCCUGCUUCCAGGAAAAUCCUCUAAGCUUCAGGUAUAAAAGAACCGUACCCGAAACCGACACAGGUGGUCAGGUAGAGAAUACUAAGGCGCUUGAGAGAACUCGGGUGAAGGAACUAGGCAAAAUAGUACCGUAACUUCGGGAGAAGGUACGCCCUUAUUUGUGAAGGCCUCGCGCUGUAAGCAGAUGAGGGUCGCAGUGACCAGGUGGCUGGGACUGUUUAUUAAAAACACAGCACUCUGCAAACUCGAAAGAGGACGUAUAGGGUGUGACACCUGCCCGGUGCCGGAAGGUUAAUUGAUGGGGUUAUCUUCGGAGAAGCUCUUGAUCGAAGCCCCGGUAAACGGCGGCCGUAACUAUAACGGUCCUAAGGUAGCGAAAUUCCUUGUCGGGUAAGUUCCGACCUGCACGAAUGGUGUAACCAUGGCCACGCUGUCUCCACCCGAGACUCAGUGAAAUUGAAAUCGCUGUGAAGAUGCAGUGUACCCGCGGCUAGACGGAAAGACCCCGUGAACCUUUACUACAGCUUGGCACUGAACAUUGAACCUACAUGUGUAGGAUAGGUGGGAGGCUUUGAAGCGUGAACGCUAGUUUGCGUGGAGCCGCCCUUGAAAUACCACCCUUGUAUGUUUGAUGUUCUAACGUCGGUCCCUUAUCGGGAUUGCGGACAGUGUCUGGUGGGUAGUUUGACUGGGGCGGUCUCCUCCCAAAGAGUAACGGAGGAGCACGAAGGUUGGCUAAGUACGGUCGGACAUCGUACGGUUAGUGCAAAGGCAUAAGCCAGCUUAACUGCGAGACAGACACGUCGAGCAGGUGCGAAAGCAGGUCUUAGUGAUCCGGUGGUUCUGAAUGGAAGGGCCAUCGCUCAACGGAUAAAAGGUACUCCGGGGAUAACAGGCUGAUACCGCCCAAGAGUUCAUAUCGACGGCGGUGUUUGGCACCUCGAUGUCGGCUCAUCACAUCCUGGGGCUGAAGUCGGUCCCAAGGGUAUGGCUGUUCGCCAUUUAAAGUGGUACGCGAGCUGGGUUUAGAACGUCGUGAGACAGUUCGGUCCCUAUCUGCCGUGGGCGUUUGAGAAUUGAAAGGGGUUGCUCCUAGUACGAGAGGACCGGAGUGAACGAACCGCUGGUGUUCGGGUUGUCAUGCCAAUGGCACUGCCCGGUAGCUACGUUCGGAAUCGAUAACCGCUGAAAGCAUCUAAGCGGGAAGCGAGCCUUGAGAUGAGUUCUCACUAGCAUGUAAUUGCUCUAAAGGGUUGUUGAAGACUACAACGUUGAUAGGCAGGGUGUGGAAGCGCUGUAAGGCGUUGAGCUAACCUGUACUAAUUGCCCGUGAGGCUUAACCAU